CUUCUCUUCUCUUCUCUUCUCUAUGAUAUUCGGUUUAUAUAUAGAUGGAAUUUGCUACAGGAGGAUAGAGCUGAUGAGAUCAAAGAUGCUUAAAAUCCCAAGGAUGAACCACCACGUUGAAGGUAUUUGUCCUUGACGGAUAUUUCCACUUCUCCAUUGAUUGUUUUUAUUUGGAGAAGUUGAUUUUUCCCCCUUUCCCUUCUUUUCUGGGUUUUUUCCCAACGCUAUAUGUUGCAACAUCUUUUGAUAUUAUAUCGGUAACAAGUUCAAAUUUUUAUCAAGAUAUGUGGACCAAUUGUUGUAUGGUUGUUCAAAAAUCAAUAAAAGAGAAUGGAAUGAAAAGUGGACAUUGAGGGGAAGAUCUUGGCCUAUGCGAUCGCAUAGACCAUUUAGGCAUGCGGUUGCAUUGGCGAUUGCAGAAAAUUCAGCCCUCUCAAUUUUUGAUCUAUGCGACAGUAUAGAUUUGUUCUAUGCGAUCGCAUAGAAGGUAGAUAUGGCUGGUUAUGGCCAUUAACAAUUUGAAUUUGGUGGCUUUUGAAGAAUUUUUUACACCACUUCAUAUGACAUUAUUUGAUGUGUGUGUGAUUGUAGUUCAAGAAAUAAUAUUAGAAAAUCAAAUAAAAUCAUAGAGCCACAAUUGAGAUAAUUUUCUUCAUUCCAAAGCAUUGAAAAAUCCAUUUCUUCUCAUAUUCAAAUCUCUUUUACAUUCUCAGGUAUUGGAGGAUUUCACUGGUGCUUGAGUGUUAAAUCAUUGUCAAGGUUUGAUAAAUCCUGAAUCAUUUGCCAAAUCCCUUCAAGCAUCUAUACUCUAUUCGAGAGAGGGCAAAUAUCGUUUGAGCACAACUAUAAGGUGUUUAGGCCUUCAUUUUCAUAGUUUUGAUUUUUUGUUUCUUCUCCAUUCCGUUCUUUGCAAAGUCAUAUUUUCAACACCACUUUUUGUAUUGUAU
RNAcentral lists this long non-coding RNA (947 nucleotides) under Olea europaea subsp. europaea. Lineage: Eukaryota; Viridiplantae; Streptophyta; Magnoliopsida; Lamiales; Oleaceae. The record is from RNAcentral.